GAUGAAGAACGUAGCGAAAUGCGAUAAGUAAUGUGAAUUGCAGAAUUCAGUGAAUCAUCGAAUCUUUGAACGCACCUUGCGCCCUUUGGCCAUUCCGAAGGGCAUGCCUGUUUGAGUAUCAUGAACAGCUCAACUCUUUAUGGUUUUCCAUGAUGAGCUUGGACUUUGGGGGUUUUGCUGGCCUAUGGUCGGCUCCUCUAAAAUAAAUCAGCUUACCGGUGUUUGGUGGGUAUCAUGGGUGUGAUAACUAUCUACGCUUGUGGUUUUUCCACCAGGUAACCUUCGACAGCGGAGGUUCACUGGAGCUCAUAGAUGUCUCUCCUCAGCGAGGACAGCCCUUUGAAUGUUUGAUCUCAAAUCAGGUAGGACUACCCGCUGAACUUAAGCAUAUCAAUAAGCGGAGGA
RNAcentral lists this unclassified non-coding RNA (405 nucleotides) under soil metagenome. RNAcentral's name for it is "partial contains 5.8S ribosomal RNA, internal transcribed spacer 2, and large subunit ribosomal RNA". The stretch from base 1 to 121 matches the Rfam family "5.8S ribosomal RNA", at positions 35 to 154 of the family's 154-position model. The record is from RNAcentral.